This 253-nucleotide ribosomal RNA is filed under the name uncultured bacterium. Its description in RNAcentral is "partial 16S ribosomal RNA". It matches the Rfam family "Bacterial small subunit ribosomal RNA", at positions 524 to 776 of the family's 1533-position model. The record is from RNAcentral.
GACGAAGGGGGCUAGCGUUGUUCGGAAUUACUGGGCGUAAAGCGAGUGUAGGUGGUUGUCCAAGUUGGAUGUGAAAGCCUUGAGCUCAACUCAAGAAAUGCAUUCAGGACUGGGCGGCUAGAGGACCGGAGAGGAUAGUGGAAUUCCCAGUGUAGUGGUGAAAUACGUAGAGAUCAGGAAGAACACCGGUGGCGAAGGCGCUCUGCUAGGCCGUAACUGACACUGAGGGACGAAAGCUAGGGGAGCGAAUGGG